RNAcentral lists this ribosomal RNA (253 nucleotides) under uncultured bacterium. RNAcentral describes it as "partial 16S ribosomal RNA". It matches the Rfam family "Archaeal small subunit ribosomal RNA", at positions 474 to 727 of the family's 1478-position model. The record is from RNAcentral.
UACCAGCACCCCGAGUGGUCGGGACGAUUAUUGGGCCUAAAGCAUCCGUAGCCGGUUUUACAAGUCCUCCGUUAAAUCCAGCUGCUUAACAGAUGGGCUGCGGAGGAUACUACGUGGCUAGGAGGCGGGAGAGGCAAGCGGUACUCAGUGGGUAGGGGUAAAAUCCUUUGAUCCAUUGAAGACCACCAGUGGCGAAGGCGGCUUGCCAGAACGCGCUCGACGGUGAGGGAUGAAAGCUGGGGGAGCAAACCGG